CCCUGACCUCAUUUAAGUGUUGGCAGUAGAGGGAAAGGUAUCUUGCUGCUGACCCCUGUGUACCUGAGACUUUCCAAAGGUUGUUGUCCUAUAAAGCUGUUCAAGUUCCUCUCUUCGUGAGAACAUCUUCGUGCUAUCCCUGCUGCAUACAAGCAUUAUGUUAGAUCGAGAAGAAGGCUAUUCAGGAAAACUAUCCCCAAAUACUUCUGAAGCACUAUUCAAGAUUCUUUUGUGUAAAACCUUACCAGAAGAGGAAUGCCUUGUUUGCCCUGCUGCUCCAUCACCCAUCUGAUGACUGCUUAACAGACUUGUGAUUAUACUGUUAAUAUAACAAUUUCUGUGUAAAAAGUUGCCUGGCUUGUGUCUGAGGAAAUCCAUGAGCGCUGGAUAGGUACGCUUGCUUGCGUGUGGACUCUUUGCUGAUUUAUUAUAGAGGCAUCACCCAACUUCCCUAUUAUGACACGAAAGCUGGGAAGAAUGAUUUAGCACUACAUCUCUUCCAGUGUUAAAAUGCAGAGUUUCUAGAAUCGUGAGCCUGCGCCCCAGGAGGGUGACUCAGACCUUUUGCUGAGCAUUAGGGAAAUCUUUGUGUCAGGCUCCUGAAAGUAACCAUACCAGAAGUUGUGUGUCCUUACCAAGUUAAGUGUCCUCUGAAUUUCUCUGUGAGAGAAGCAGUGCUUUCUUCCUCUGUGUCCUUUUCCCAGUAAUGGACAGUAUCUACAAAUGUAAAAUGCCACGCUGCGUGUUGGUCCCACAAGAAUUCUUAGGUAAUGCCACAACCUCCAAGGUAACAUCUGCCCUUGUGUCGUGCAGGUACUGAGAAGGGGAGAAAUUGGUCUGAUCUGCCAAAAAGGGAGGGAAACAAAAGUAUGUAAGAACAGUCACAAAAUGUUUUUAUGAAUUGCAGUCUAUGGAGCUGCAGUUAGAUCACACGCCAAUAGUUCCAGAGUUAUUUUUCAUCCUCAAGCUUUCAUGUGUCCUAUGCACAUACAAAACUCUGAAUUCCCUCCCCAAGGAGCCAAGAAAAUGUUUUCCUUAAAUCUGUGACAGCAAUAGUACUGUUUUGCAUGUGUUUAAUAAGAGCAGAAUUACAGUAAUGUUCCUGUUCCAUGUGAGCAAAUAUAGUAAGUAUUUCCACAAUGGCUACAACUGGGAUUUUGUAAUGCUCACUGCUUUAACCAGUUUAAAUAAAGCAAGGCGAGCCCCUAUCUGAUUUGCUAAACAAGUUCUGUCCUGACUCUUUGUGUACAUCCUAAAUCUUUCUCUAGCUGUUAGUCAAAACAAAUCCAUAAUUAAGGAGAACUACCCCCUUAUUACUGUUUAAUUUCCUGAUAAAGACAUUAAAUUAAAUUAAAAGGAAUUUCCCCAAAAGCCCCCCUUCCAGACUGAAUCCCUGCACUGACAAGCUAUUGGAUUUUC
Phasianus colchicus (ring-necked pheasant) is the source of this 1419-nucleotide non-coding RNA. The record is from RefSeq and is a predicted model, not a curated record. NCBI's taxonomy places the organism in Eukaryota, Metazoa, Chordata, Aves, Galliformes, Phasianidae.